Molecule: non-coding RNA, 26 nt
Filed under: Mus musculus (house mouse)
Lineage: Eukaryota; Metazoa; Chordata; Mammalia; Rodentia; Muridae
Source: RNAcentral
UGGAGGCUUCAGCUGCAGAUUGUUUG